UAUUAAAAAUUUCAUCUAUUUCUAUAGUUAAAAACUAACGUGAUUAAUAUAAUAAUCAACCGGUUACACUUGAUGCGCCACAUGUACUUCAUUCUGAUGUAUAUGAAUAAGUUUUUAGUUGUAAAAAUUAAUGAUUUUUUCAACA
Molecule: non-coding RNA, 145 nt
Organism: Gossypium hirsutum (cotton)
Lineage: Eukaryota; Viridiplantae; Streptophyta; Magnoliopsida; Malvales; Malvaceae
Source: Rfam